CCUACGGGUGGCAGCAGUGGGGAAUAUUGCACAAUGGGCGCAAGCCUGAUGCAGCCAUGCCGCGUGUAUGAAGAAGGCCUUCGGGUUGUAAAGUACUUUCAGCGAGGAGGAGGGCAUUAAGGUUAAUAACCUCACCGAUUGACGUUACCCGCAGAAGAAGCACCGGCUAACUCCGUGCCAGCAGCCGCGGUAAUACGGAGGGUGCAAGCGUUAAUCGGAAUUACUGGGCGUAAAGCGCACGCAGGCGGUCUGUCAAGUCGGAUGUGAAAUCCCCGGGCUCAACCUGGGAACUGCAUUCGAAACUGGCAGGCUAGAGUCUUGUAGAGGGGGGUAGAAUACCAGGUGUAGCGGUGAAAUGCGUAGAGAUCUGGAGGAAUACCGGUGGCGAAGGCGGCCCCCUGGACAAAGACUGACGCUCAGGUGCGAAAGCGUGGGGAGCAAACAGGAUUAGAUACCCCGGUAGUC
Molecule: ribosomal RNA, 465 nt
Filed under: uncultured bacterium
Lineage: Bacteria
Description: bacterial SSU rRNA
Rfam family: Bacterial small subunit ribosomal RNA
Source: RNAcentral